UACAGAGGUCCCGAGCGUUGUUCGGAUUCACUGGGCGUAAAGGGUGCGUAGGUGGUGAGGAAAGUCGGAUGUGAAAUCUCCGGGCUUAACCCGGAAAUGGCAUUGGAAACUACCUUGCUAGAGGUUUUGAGGGGGGACUGGAAUUCUCGGUGUAGCAGUGAAAUGCGUAGAUAUCGGGAGGAACACCUGUGGCGAAAGCGGCUCACUGGACCACAACUGACGCUGAGGCGCGAAAGCUAGGGGAGCAAACAGG
This 253-nucleotide ribosomal RNA is filed under the name uncultured bacterium. Its description in RNAcentral is "partial 16S ribosomal RNA". It matches the Rfam family "Bacterial small subunit ribosomal RNA", at positions 524 to 776 of the family's 1533-position model. The record is from RNAcentral.